This 429-nucleotide ribosomal RNA is filed under the name Gemmatimonadota bacterium. Its description in RNAcentral is "Gemmatimonadetes bacterium partial 16S ribosomal RNA". It matches the Rfam family "Bacterial small subunit ribosomal RNA", at positions 355 to 776 of the family's 1533-position model. Lineage: Bacteria; Pseudomonadati; Gemmatimonadota. The record is from RNAcentral.
UAGGGAAUCUUCGGCAAUGGACGAAAGUCUGACCGAGCAACGCCGCGUGAGUGAAGAAGGUUUUCGGAUCGUAAAACUCUGUUGUUAGAGAAGAACAAGGACGUUAGUAACUGAACGUCCCCUGACGGUAUCUAACCAGAAAGCCACGGCUAACUACGUGCCAGCAGCCGCGGUAAUACGUAGGUGGCAAGCGUUGUCCGGAUUUAUUGGGCGUAAAGCGAGCGCAGGCGGUUUCUUAAGUCUGAUGUGAAAGCCCCCGGCUCAACCGGGGAGGGUCAUUGGAAACUGGGAGACUUGAGUGCAGAAGAGGGGAGUGGAAUUCCAGGUGUAGCGGUGAAGUGCGUAGAAAUAUGGAGGAACACCAGUGGCGAAGGCGGCUCUCUGGUCUGUAACUGACGCUGAGGCUCGAAAGCGUGGGGAGCAAACAGG